AUCUUUUUAUUUAUUUAUCAUUAGAUAAUUUUUUAAAGAGUGAGAUGUUUUAAAUACGAAAAAUGGACGCAAAACCUGAGGUUCACCAUGAUUUGUAAUGAUCCUUCUGCAGGUUCACCUACGGAAA
This 127-nucleotide unclassified non-coding RNA is filed under the name uncultured fungus. Its description in RNAcentral is "sequence contains ITS1". Lineage: Eukaryota; Fungi. The record is from RNAcentral.